UGUCUAAGCAGACUUGACAGUCCAACCAGC
This 30-nucleotide non-coding RNA is filed under the name Rattus norvegicus (Norway rat). The record is from RNAcentral. Lineage: Eukaryota; Metazoa; Chordata; Mammalia; Rodentia; Muridae.